GUGGGGAAUCUUAGACAAUGGGCGCAAGCCUGAUCUAGCCAUGCCGCGUGAGCGAUGAAGGCCUUAGGGUUGUAAAGCUCUUUCGUGGGGGAAGAUAAUGACUGUACCCCAAGAAGAAGCCCCGGCUAACUCCGUGCCAGCAGCCGCGGUAAUACGGAGGGGGCUAGCGUUGUUCGGAAUUACUGGGCGUAAAGCGCACGUAGGCGGACUGGAAAGUCAGGGGUGAAAUCCCAGGGCUCAACCUUGGAACUGCCUUCAAAACUCCUGGUCUGGAGUUCGAGAGAGGUGAGUGGAAUUCCGAGUGUAGAGGUGAAAUUCGUAGAUAUUCGGAGGAACACCAGUGGCGAAGGCGGCUCACUGGCUCGAUACUGACGCUGAGGUGCGAAAGCGUGGGGAGCAAACAGGAUUAGAAACCCGAGUAGUCC
This 425-nucleotide ribosomal RNA is filed under the name uncultured bacterium. RNAcentral describes it as "partial 16S ribosomal RNA". It matches the Rfam family "Bacterial small subunit ribosomal RNA", at positions 354 to 796 of the family's 1533-position model. The record is from RNAcentral.